CCCUUAGAUGUUCUGGGCCGCACGCGCGCUACACUGAUCGAUUCAACGAGUUUUAUAAUAUUUUGUUUAAAAAAUUUAUAUAUCCUUUGUCGGAAGGCAUGGGUAAUCUUUUAAAUGUCGAUCGUGAUGGGGCUAGAUUCUUGCAAUUAUUAAUCUCCAACGAGGAAUUCCUAGUAAACGCAAGUCAUCAGCUUGCAUUGAUUACGUCCCUGCCCUUUGUACACACCGCCCGUCGCUCCUACCGAUUGAGUGGUCCGGUGAGGCUUUGGGAUCUGAGCGGAAAGAGCGUUUCGCUGUUUCUGCUCGGAAAACUCAGUCGAACCUUAUCAUUUAGAGGAAGGAGAAGUCGUAACA
RNAcentral lists this ribosomal RNA (354 nucleotides) under uncultured eukaryote. Its description in RNAcentral is "partial 18S ribosomal RNA". It matches the Rfam family "Eukaryotic small subunit ribosomal RNA", at positions 1470 to 1796 of the family's 1831-position model. The record is from RNAcentral.